GUUUCAGAAAAAGGGAGAAGGUUUGGAUCCAUUAAAACGUUUAAUCCCGCUGCAAAUGUUUGCACCUGUCCUAAGUCAGGAAUCUAUUGUACAGUAGUUGUCGUUUGUUUAUGUAAUUUAUACGUGUUUCUCGUUUCUCGUUUUUUUUAAUUUUAUAUAGAUUAGACCGUUGGUUUUCCCGUUUGAAUGGUUUUAUACUAGUAAUUUUGGGGCCCUUUAUAGCUUGUUGUUCGG
RNAcentral lists this long non-coding RNA (234 nucleotides) under Mytilus galloprovincialis (Mediterranean mussel). The record is from RNAcentral. Lineage: Eukaryota; Metazoa; Mollusca; Bivalvia; Mytilida; Mytilidae.